GGAGAGAUGUCCGAGUGGUUUAAGGAGCUGGUCUUGAAAACCAGUGACUCGCUUUGCGGGCCGUGGGUUCGAAUCCCACUCUCUCCGCCA
This 90-nucleotide transfer RNA is filed under the name Clostridia bacterium. RNAcentral's name for it is "tRNA-Ser". It matches the Rfam family "tRNA". From Rfam's summary of the family: Transfer RNA (tRNA) molecules are approximately 80 nucleotides in length. Their secondary structure includes four short double-helical elements and three loops (D, anti-codon, and T loops). Further hydrogen bonds mediate the characteristic L-shaped molecular structure. tRNAs have two regions of fundamental functional importance: the anti-codon, which is responsible for specific mRNA codon recognition, and the 3' end, to which the tRNAs corresponding amino acid is attached (by aminoacyl-tRNA synthetases). tRNAs cope with the degeneracy of the genetic code in two manners: having more than one tRNA (with a specific anti-codon) for a particular amino acid; and 'wobble' base-pairing, i.e. permitting non-standard base-pairing at the 3rd anti-codon position. Lineage: Bacteria; Bacillati; Bacillota; Clostridia. RNAcentral also lists the same sequence under 1 other name. The record is from RNAcentral.